AUUGAACGCUGGCGGCAGGCUUAACACAUGCAAGUCGAGCGGAGAUGAGGUGCUUGCACCUUAUCUUAGCGGCGGACGGGUGAGUAAUGCUUAGGAAUCUGCCAUUUAGUGGGGGACAACAUUCCGAAAGGAAUGCUAAUACCGCAUACGUCCUACGGGAGAAAGCAGGGGAUCUUCGGACCUUGCGCUAAAUGAUGAGCCUAAGUCGGAUUAGCUAGUUGGUGGGGUAAAGGCCUACCAAGGCGACGAUCUGUAGCGGGUCUGAGAGGAUGAUCCGCCACACUGGGACUGAGACACGGCCCAGACUCCUACGGGAGGCAGCAGUGGGGAAUAUUGGACAAUGGGCGGAAGCCUGAUCCAGCCAUGCCGCGUGUGUGAAGAAGGCCUUUUGGUUGUAAAGCACUUUAAGCGAGGAGGAGGCUACUAGUACUAAUACUACUGGAUAGUGGACGUUACUCGCAGAAUAAGCACCGGCUAACUCUGUG
RNAcentral lists this ribosomal RNA (485 nucleotides) under uncultured organism. RNAcentral's name for it is "bacterial SSU rRNA". It matches the Rfam family "Bacterial small subunit ribosomal RNA", at positions 30 to 507 of the family's 1533-position model. The record is from RNAcentral.